RNAcentral lists this ribosomal RNA (508 nucleotides) under uncultured bacterium. Its description in RNAcentral is "partial 16S ribosomal RNA". It matches the Rfam family "Bacterial small subunit ribosomal RNA", at positions 28 to 523 of the family's 1533-position model. The record is from RNAcentral.
GAUGAACGCUAGCUACAGGCUUAACACAUGCAAGUCGAGGGGAAACGAUAUUGGAAGCUUGCUUCCGAUAGGCGUCGACCGGCGCACGGGUGAGUAACGCGUAUCCAACCUGCCCAUCACUUGGGGAUAACCUUGCGAAAGUAAGACUAAUACCCAAUGACGUCUCUAGAAGACAUCUGAAAGAGAUUAAAGAUUUAUCGGUGAUGGAUGGGGAUGCGUCUGAUUAGCUUGUUGGCGGGGUAACGGCCCACCAAGGCGACGAUCAGUAGGGGUUCUGAGAGGAAGGUCCCCCACAUUGGAACUGAGGCACGGUCCAAACUCCGACGGGAGGCAGCAGUGAGGAAUAUUGGUCAAUGGGCGAGAGCCUGAACCAGCCAAGUAGCGUGCAGGAUGACGGCCCUAUGGGUUGUAAACUGCUUUUAUAAGGGAAUAAAGUGAGAGUCGUGACUCUUUUUGCAUGUACCUUAUGAAUAAGGACCGGCUAAUUCCGUGCCAGCAGCCGCGGUAA